UUUUCUAGAUUUCCUAUAUCUGCGAGUUGAAUUUCAGUCCUGAGAAAUUGGUUGAUUGUAUUUUAGGCAGUGACUGCUUGUUGACUGGGGACAUCUAGUGGGAAAAGGCAGCAGUUCAGUCUGGUCGUGUGUGAGAUUAUUAGGUAAACGAAAAGAAGAGGAAGUUACCACAUUCUGGAAGAUUUACUUGUGACCAUCAGAGGGAUGGUCUGAAGAAAGAAAAAGGUUCUGAGUACAGGAAGAGGUUCUACAAUUUAGGGAAAAAACAACUUCGGGAAGAAUGUGGUAAUGGGGAGAGGCUGGGGUAAAUCCCAGUUGUGAAACUUAUUUCCUGUAAGACAACACAUGACACCUCUGAAUGCCUCUUCAGUAUUUUAAAAGCAGCUUAAAUGCCAGUCCUUGUGCAAUAGAAGCUUUGCUUGUUUAGUGAAAGCUUCUGGGAAAAAAGCUUUACUUUAUCACAAUAUAUUCUGUGUUC
Molecule: long non-coding RNA, 478 nt
Filed under: Bos taurus (domestic cattle)
Lineage: Eukaryota; Metazoa; Chordata; Mammalia; Artiodactyla; Bovidae
Description: long non-coding RNA NONBTAT025974
Source: RNAcentral